GGCCUAUUGAAUAUAAUUUUAGGUCGAUCUGCCCAAUGAUUUAAAAUUUAAUGGCUGCGGUAUUUUGACUGUACAAAGGUAGCAUAAUCAAUUGUUUUUUAAUUGGAAACUGGAAUGAAAGAAUUAAUGAGAUAUAUACUGUCUCAUAUAUAAUAAAUGAAUUUAAAUUUUUAGUUAAAAUGCUUAAAUUAUUUUAUGGGACGAUAAGACCCUAUAGAAUUUUAUAUUAAUAUAAAUAGUUAUGUUUAUAAAAUUUUUAUAUUAAUAUUUAGUUGGGAGGAUUAGUAAAUUUAAUAAACUUUACUUUAAAUUUAAACUUUGAUUUAAGAAUUUUUUUUUUGAUCUUGUAUUAUAAAAAUAAGAGUAAAUUACCUUAGGGAUAACAGCGUAAUAUCUUUUUAAAGGUCAUAUUAAUAAAGAUGAUUGCGACCUCGAUGUUGAAUUAAGAUAAAUUUUAGAUGGAGAGGUCUAAAAAUUAAGUCUGUUCGACUUUUAGAAUCU
This 501-nucleotide ribosomal RNA is filed under the name Bombus trifasciatus. RNAcentral describes it as "partial 16S ribosomal RNA". The stretch from base 379 to 501 matches the Rfam family "Bacterial large subunit ribosomal RNA", at positions 2473 to 2596 of the family's 2925-position model. Lineage: Eukaryota; Metazoa; Arthropoda; Insecta; Hymenoptera; Apidae. The record is from RNAcentral.